Molecule: long non-coding RNA, 630 nt
Filed under: Piliocolobus tephrosceles (Ugandan red Colobus)
Lineage: Eukaryota; Metazoa; Chordata; Mammalia; Primates; Cercopithecidae
Description: lncRNA (ENSPTEG00000018145.1)
Source: RNAcentral
GAAUUGUAACCCCCACGUGUAGAGGGAGGGACCUGUAAUCCCUAUGUGUGGAGGGCGGGAGGUGAUUAGAUCAUAGGGGCGGUUUCCCCUGUGCUGUGCUCUGGAUAGUGAGUUCUCACAGGUCUGAUACUUUUAUAAGGGGUUCUUCCCCUUUCACUUUCUCUUCUCGUUCCUGCUGCCUUGUGAAGAAAGUGCUUGCUUCUCCUUACGCCAUGAUUAUGAGUUUCCUGAGGCCUUCCCAGCUUGCAGAACUGAAAAGAAGAGGAGGGCUCCUCUGAGACCUAAUAGGAUGCAUUUCCCAGCUGAGCCCAGUUUGCAUCUCCUCUCUCCGAGGCUCUUCUCAGAGAAAGACCUGGAUAAGCAGCCUUCUGCUGCCUUCUGGCAUCCCGGGACCAGAACUUAGUAUUGUAACCGUGAGCAUCUCCAUCAUCGGACAGGGGGCCCGAGUGCAGGCUCCACAAUGUGCAAUCCGACUCCAGAUGACCACUCUGCCUGUGUGCCUGUCCUCUAGCCCAACAGCCUGCUCAGAGUGGGUGCUCGCCAAAUGUUUGGUGAGUGAAUAAAUGAAUUAUGAAUUAACAGAAGAAUGAAACUAAUAAAUGAUCAUUGCAAUAACCUGUAAAAAAAACU